RNAcentral lists this ribosomal RNA (1366 nucleotides) under metagenome. RNAcentral's name for it is "SSU rRNA". It matches the Rfam family "Eukaryotic small subunit ribosomal RNA", at positions 146 to 1371 of the family's 1831-position model. The record is from RNAcentral.
ACUGUGGUAAUUCUAGAGCUAAUACAUGCACCCAAGCCCCGACUCGGGGGGCAACUCUCGAGAAAGGGCGCUUUUAUUAGAUCAAAACCAGUCGAGAGCUUCGGCUCUCGUUAAGUUUGGUGACUCUGGAUAACUUCACGCUGAUCGCACGGUCUUCGCACCGGCGACGAUUCUUUCAAAUGUCUGCCUUAUCAACUGUCGAUGGUAGGUUAUGCGCCUACCAUGGUUGCAACGGGUAACGGGGAAUCGGGGUUCGAUUCCGGAGAGGGAGCCUGAGAAACGGCUACCACAUCCAAGGAAGGCAGCAGGCGCGCAAAUUACCCACUCCCGGCACGGGGAGGUAGUGACGAAAAAUAACGAUACGGGACUCUUCCGAGGCCCCGUGAUUGGAAUGAGUACACUUUAAAUCCUUUAACGAGGACCCAUUGGAGGGCAAGUCUGGUGCCAGCAGCCGCGGUAACUCCAGCUCCAAUAGCGUAUAUUAAAGUUGUUGCGGUUAAAAAGCUCGUAGUCGGAGUUCUGUCUUCGGCCGAGGGGGGAUUCUGCCUACACGGUAUGAGUCUCGUUCCCUUUGGGUGUGCGGUGUCAAAGCCGUGCACUCUUAACGGUCGGACAAGUCCGUCGGAGUGUGGUUAUUGUUGGAAGGGCAACCGACCAAUGAGGCCACCGUAAUCGUUCGGGGUGCCUUUAAUCGGGUGUCUCGAGCGGCCGACAUAGUUUACUUUGAACAAAUUAGAGUGCUCAAAGCAGGUGACUACCGCCUGAAUAGUACAGCAUGGAAUGAUGAAAGAGGACCUCGGUCUGAUUUUGCUGGUCUUUAACGGUCGGGCUUCGGCCCGGCCUAUGCAGACCCGAGGUAAUGGUCAAUAGAGACGGACGGGGGCAUCCGUACUGCGGCGACAGAGGUGAAAUUCUUGGACCGCCGCAAGACGAACGACAGCGAAGGCAUUUGCCAAGAAUGUUUUCCUUGAUCAAGAACGAAAGUUAGAGGUUCGAAGGCGAUCAGAUACCGCCCUAGUUCUAACCAUAAACGAUGCCAACUAGCGAUCCGCCGGUGUUACUCCCAUGACUCGGCGGGCAGCUUCCGGGAAACCAAAGUCUUUGGGUUCCGGGGGAAGUAUGGUUGCAAAGCUGAAACUUAAAGGAAUUGACGGAAGGGCACCACCAGGAGUGGAGCCUGCGGCUUAAUUUGACUCAACACGGGAAACCUCACCAGGCCCGGACACUGGAAGGAUUGACAGAUUGAGAGCUCUUUCUUGAUUCGGUGGGUGGUGGUGCAUGGCCGUUCUUAGUUGGUGGAGCGAUUUGUCUGGUUAAUUCCGAUAACGAACGAGACUCUAGCCUGCUAAAUAGGUGCCGGGUUUUU